Non-coding RNA from Pelobates cultripes (western spadefoot toad), 677 nucleotides. The record is from the annotation of a GenBank genome assembly. NCBI's taxonomy places the organism in Eukaryota, Metazoa, Chordata, Amphibia, Anura, Pelobatidae.
CAUGAGUUUUCUUUCCUUUUUCAUUCAGUCAUGUUCCGUGUCUCCCUUUAUGCACAUAUACACUAGAUUUACACAUAUUCAUAUAAAUACACACACGCACGCUCUACCUCACUCUAAUAUACACAUCGUCACCUGUGCAAGACCUCCGUACAUGCACUAACAAUUAGUAUAUGUACCUCAUCUAUGUACAGUGGGAACUAAUCUCAUCGAAGUCAGUGUGCAAUGCAGUUCCAUAACAGGUCGUGUCCAAAACCAACGGAUGGUGAAACACUACAACACGCAUUGACCAGUGUGGAUUUCAAAAUUAUGUAGUUGAAGAAAUCAUGGACUAAACAACCUCACAUUUUUGGCUUUGGCCCCUAUAGCCCCCUUUCCCGCAAUGCCUAUUCCUAAAGUUAUCACUUUAUUCUAGGUUAGGCAUUGCAGAGCUAAAACUCCCAUGAUACUUUGCCAACCUUAGAAGAAAUAAAACAAUGCGAUUGGCAAUUCCACAACACCUGGAGAUUUACCUUUUCAACACAUCUGUUCUAGAUAGUGAAAAAAAUUUCAAAAACUUGGGUCAGCUUAGUCUCAUCUUAGAGGAACACUCCAGACACAUAAAGCACUUUAGCUUGCUACAGAGCUUCAUGUGUCUGGAGUUUGUCAUAUUAAAAAGUGCAGAUUUCAAUAGAUCUUUA